This 1277-nucleotide long non-coding RNA is filed under the name Vulpes vulpes (red fox). RNAcentral's name for it is "lncRNA (ENSVVUG00000014634.1)". The record is from RNAcentral. Lineage: Eukaryota; Metazoa; Chordata; Mammalia; Carnivora; Canidae.
CUGAGACCGACCAGGAGAUAAGAAGGUGGCCUUCAGCCCAGCAGCUCAGGUGCUCCCGGCCUUGAUGGCCCGAGGACACCCGGAUGCGGACAGGGCUGGGCCUCUGGGGGCAGGUGACAGCCGUGGGCGACCUGGGAGGGCCUGUAGCCUCCGCUCCCCACUCCGCUCCCCACUCUGCCACAGGCCUCGCCCCGCCAGCCGCCUCCCCGCUCCCUCCCACUAAGGCUGGUCUCCUGGGCCAGCCUCAGUCCCUGGCCGGCUGGGUCCCCCUCCCACGCGGGUCUCCCCUGGACUUUGGGGACCCAGCUUGGGGCUGCCUUCUCCUGCGGAUUGAAUUCCUUCCUCCUGGGAAGAGGAGCAGGAAGGCUGAAGAUAGCGCCGAGCAGCAGGUCUGCUGCCAGCCAGGAGGCCCAGGUGACGCAGCUUGUCGCCAGCGUCCGGGCUCGGGCUCGGGCUCCGGGCUGGGGGUGCCCUGGAGGGGGGGCGGGCUCUGAGGAGCCUCGGUCUGUUGGCGGGCUGGGGUCACAUGCCAGGCGCUCCGGCCGCCCCGGGGCCGAGAAACUGUGGCCGCCACCCGCUCCUGGCCGCGGCCUGCGGGUCAGGCGGAUCCGGGCGCUGUGGGAGCAGCUGUCUCUAGGAACCAGAACAGGGACGGCCACGAAAGGAAGCCACUCCCUGGAGGCUUGGGGUUUUUUUAAAGAUUUUAUUUAUUUAUUCACGAGAGACACAGAGAGAGGCAGACAUGCAGGCAGAGGGAGAAGCAGGCUCCGUGCAGGGGCCCGACGCGGGGCUCGAUCCCGGGACCCGGGUCACGGCCUGGGCCGCCCACCGCCAAGCCCCCCGACGCCCCCCCAGUCCUCCGCCCGGCUGGUGAAGGCUGGCGCCUCUGGAUCACCCGGUCCCCACGAGCCCCCCUCCCGCCCUCCCAGGGGCCGGGUCUGCGCACAGCUCGCGUUUCUGCCCUCGAGUCGCGGUCGCAGUGUUCCCGCACGUGCUGUCACGAGAGGCGGCCAUAGCCACCCUGGGCCGGGGUGCCGGACCGUUCACGGGGCUUGCUGGCAGCCAGUGGGAGCUGCCCCGUGUCGCCGCACAGUGACACCCGUCCAGCCGGGCCCUUCCGCAGGGCUGGACAACAACCGGGUGUGUGUCGGUGGCGCGGGGGCCACGAGUGUGUGACCGGCUGGGCGCCAGAGCAGGGGUCGUGACGCGGGCAGCUGGGGCAGGCCUGCGGCCCCUCGAACCCCCCCCCCACCUGGACAGGAGGAGGUGCACCUGCC